CAAAAGACUUACUCUUAGACUAUAUAUUAUCAGAACACUAAGAACCAUGUGUUUAAUCUUGUUGUUACUUCUGUUUCAGUGUGUGGUGAUACUUUUAGCUCCUAAAAUUAUAUUGAUAAAAUUGUAAUGUAUUAUAUUUGCAGAUGUUACUUUAAGUGCAUUAAAUGCCCCAGAGAGUGACAUAGAUAUUGAGGGGGAUUCAUCAUCUUCAAAGAAGUUAGAAUUUGAUUCAGGUAAUAUAUAUAUCAAUGAAAGAGUGAUAAUGUUAAUGUCAUGUAAUAUUUUAUAGAUAUAGAUAAUAAUAAUAUAUCUAUAUCUAUAAAAUAUUACACUGAUUAUUCUGUCCUCAUAUCUUGACUUACAUCUGCAUAUCAACAAUAAUGGUUGUUUGAGAACAAAAUUUGAACAAAAUAGAUGAUUCAACUUUCCAAUUCUAUGUAGCAACAUUCCAGCACUGCCUGCAUAUGGAGUAUAUAUCUGUCAGGUGGAAUGUAUUUCAAGGGCUUACGUUUCCUAUAAUGAUUUCUUUCAUAGAGGGAUGCUGCAGAAGCAAUUAAACCAUAUGUAUGAGUUCCAAAUUUUGAAAUUUAUACCACAAUUCCAUCCUCUUUUUCCCUGAAUGUGACCUACCAAUAAAAUAAAAAAGAAGAUGGGGUUUGAUUGCCAAUGAGACAACUCUUCACAAGCUCAUUGACACAGAAAUUAACAAAUAAAGUUCAAUGUUUGAUCUUCAUCAAUGAGCAAAGCCCAUAGUCAGCUAUAAAAGGUCCUGAAAUAACAAACGUAAAAAGAUUCAAACAAGAAAACUAAACAAUAAGCCUUAUCACCAGCCUUGUUCUUACUUACAUAACUUUUUUUCUCUAGCAUUUUUACAAUCAGCUAAUUGAUUUAUUAUUUUAGAUGUGGAUUCAAGUAUGUUGUGACAGAAAGCUGGAAUUUAAUUGACUGUUUUCUAAUACAUAGAAGUACACAGAACUGGGCCAUUGUGUUUGGUGUAGUUAAGUGCAAUUAAAGUUGGAUAAACAGAUACUGUCAUCUUGCUUGUUGAUAUUUACAUUGAAGAUGAAGCAUUUGGACUGAACUAUCUGAAAUCAUAUGUCUGCUUUGAUAUAUUUAUUUAUUCGUUCAACAGUUGCCAUCCAGAAAAGUUUUAGCAAUGCGAUAGUUACUUUUAGGACUUUCCAAACUUAUUACAAAAAUGACAAUCUUUUAAUUGCUGUCAAAUUUGUUAACCUCAUCUUCAAUGAUUCUUAUGUUGUUCAUCUUUUCAUUCAUUUGUCAGGCUUGUUUCCAGAUAAUCGUUAUUUACACAAAUUAAUUCUAAAAUUACAUGUAAACUUUUUUUAUUUAUCAUGAUUUUUUAACUUCUGGUUGAUACUAAAAGUACUGAUUGACAAACUACUAAGAGAAUUUUUGUCAAUUUUUACUUGUAUAAAUGUUGUUUUUAAUAUUUUUUUAGAGGAUACCUUUGUUAGUUUGUUAGAGAAUUUGUCAUCAUGUGUGAAAUUAAAAAAGUAAAUAAAACAUUUGUAUAUAUACAUGUAUAUAGUAUCAUGAAUAAAGGCA
Molecule: long non-coding RNA, 1566 nt
Filed under: Mytilus galloprovincialis (Mediterranean mussel)
Lineage: Eukaryota; Metazoa; Mollusca; Bivalvia; Mytilida; Mytilidae
Source: RNAcentral